RNAcentral lists this ribosomal RNA (497 nucleotides) under uncultured bacterium. RNAcentral's name for it is "partial 16S ribosomal RNA". It matches the Rfam family "Bacterial small subunit ribosomal RNA", at positions 28 to 507 of the family's 1533-position model. The record is from RNAcentral.
GAUGAACGCUGGCGGCGUGCCUAAUACAUGCAAGUCGAGCGAACAGAUAAGGAGCUUGCUCCUUUGACGUUAGCGGCGGACGGGUGAGUAACACGUGGGUAACCUACCUAUAAGACUGGGAUAACUUCGGGAAACCGGAGCUAAUACCGGAUAACAUUUGGAACCGCAUGGUUCUAAAGUGAAAGAUGGUUUUGCUAUCACUUAUAGAUGGACCCGCGCCGUAUUAGCUAGUUGGUAAGGUAACGGCUUACCAAGGCGACGAUACGUAGCCGACCUGAGAGGGUGAUAGGCCACACGGGAACUGAAACGCGGUCAAGACUCCUAAGGGAGGCAGCAGUAGGGAAUCUUCCGCAACGGGGGAAAGCCUGACGGAGCAACGCCGCGUGAGUGAUGAAGGGGUUCGGCUCGUAAAACUCUGUUAUUAGGGAAGAACAAAUGUGUAAGUAACUGUGCACGUCUUGACGGUACCUAAUCAGAAAGCCACGGCUAACUACGUG